GUUUUAAUAGUUUAAAAUAAAAAUAAUGAUCUUGUAAAUCAUAGUUAGAUAAAUCUUUAAAACU
RNAcentral lists this transfer RNA (64 nucleotides) under Isometopus sp. Its description in RNAcentral is "tRNA-Thr". The record is from RNAcentral. Lineage: Eukaryota; Metazoa; Arthropoda; Insecta; Hemiptera; Miridae.